RNAcentral lists this ribosomal RNA (406 nucleotides) under uncultured bacterium. Its description in RNAcentral is "partial 16S ribosomal RNA". It matches the Rfam family "Bacterial small subunit ribosomal RNA", at positions 29 to 526 of the family's 1533-position model. The record is from RNAcentral.
AUUGAACGCUGGCGGCAGGCCUAACACAUGCAAGUCGAGCGAGCGGCGGACGGGUGAGUAAUGUCUGGGAAACUGCCUGAUGGAGGGGGCUAACUACUGGAAACGGUAGCUAAUACCGCAUACCAUCAGAUGUGCCCAGCUGGGAUUAGCUAGUAGGGUGGGUAACGGCUCACCUAGGCGACGAGCCCUAGCUGGUCUGAGAGGAUGACCAGGCACACUGGAACUGAGACAAGGUCCAGACUCCUACGGGAGGCAGCAGUGGGGAAUAUUGCACAAUGGGCGAAAGCCUGAUGGAGCCAGGCCGCGUGUGUGAAGAAGGCCUUCGGGUUGUAAGGCACUUUAAGCGGGGAGGCGUUACCCGCAGAAGAAGCACCGGCUAACUCCGUGCCAGCCGCCGCGGUAAUAC